ACCGAAGCCCGUAACCGCCUCCGGGCGUGACGGGCGGCUGGUAUCCUCCUUCUGAGGGGUGUAUGGCGCAGCGUGGGCCGGCCUUCGGGUCGCGAAUUCCUAAUGUUGCGGCGGACCACUCCUUGGGCAACUCAGUGGGGGCAAUUGGAUCGCCCGUGAGCACCUUUGGCGGCUUCGGCCCCGGAGGUGACCCGGGCUGGGCACUGGGCUUCGGUCCAUGGUCCUGACCUCUUAACUAACCCUGAACCCCUCUUUACGGAGGGUUGCCGGUGGUCCCUUCKCCCUUCCGGGGCGGAGUGKCCUCCCGGUUAANAUAGUUACCUGGYUGAUUCUGCCAGUAGUCWU
RNAcentral lists this unclassified non-coding RNA (345 nucleotides) under Cladonia bellidiflora. Its description in RNAcentral is "partial 28S-18S ribosomal RNA intergenic spacer". The record is from RNAcentral. Lineage: Eukaryota; Fungi; Ascomycota; Lecanoromycetes; Lecanorales; Cladoniaceae.